GGAGAGGUGGCUGAGCGGUUGAAAGCGCACGCUUGGAGAGCGUGUGACUCGUAAGGGUUCCAGGGUUCGAAUCCCUGCCUCUCCGCCA
RNAcentral lists this transfer RNA (88 nucleotides) under Candidatus Omnitrophota bacterium. RNAcentral's name for it is "tRNA-Ser". It matches the Rfam family "tRNA". From Rfam's summary of the family: Transfer RNA (tRNA) molecules are approximately 80 nucleotides in length. Their secondary structure includes four short double-helical elements and three loops (D, anti-codon, and T loops). Lineage: Bacteria; Pseudomonadati; Candidatus Omnitrophota. The record is from RNAcentral.